GUUACAAUGGGGGGUACGAGAGGGCCGCUACCACGCAAGUGGAUGCCAAUCCCCAAAACCUCUCUCAGUUCGGAUUGAAGUCUGCAACCCGACUUCAUGAAGCUGGAUUCGCUAGUAAUCGCGCAUCAGCCACGGCGCGGUGAAUACGUUCCCGGGCCUUGUACACACCGCCCGUCAAGCCAUGGGAGCCGGGGGUACCUGAAGUGCGUAACCGCAAGGAGCGCCCUAGGGUAAAACUGGUGACUGGGGCUAAGUCGUAACAAGGUAGC
This 269-nucleotide ribosomal RNA is filed under the name uncultured bacterium. Its description in RNAcentral is "partial 16S ribosomal RNA". It matches the Rfam family "Bacterial small subunit ribosomal RNA", at positions 1224 to 1500 of the family's 1533-position model. The record is from RNAcentral.